RNAcentral lists this unclassified non-coding RNA (276 nucleotides) under Hevea brasiliensis (rubber tree). The record is from RNAcentral. Lineage: Eukaryota; Viridiplantae; Streptophyta; Magnoliopsida; Malpighiales; Euphorbiaceae.
GAUGUGCGCAAGGAAUUCAUCCACGCCCUCGGCCAGGAACGCGCGGACGAGGAAGUGAGGGAUCGGCGUCUCAAACAAAACCGAUUGCUUCGCCUGCUCGACGGUCGUCCAUCGGCUCUGGUCCCACACCGUCAGCUCGGUCUUUGCAUCCUCUUCUAGGUGCAGCUCGACCGGGCGCUCUUCCUCGUAUGUCCCGCCAUAGCCAUCGUCGUAGACCCGGUCCUCCCAGCUCAACGUGUCGGGGGACGGCGGCGAACUGGGACGAACGAAGAUGUC